AUGAAUAACUUUCAAAGGGUUAUGUGCGCCUCUCGUUUCAUGCGUGUGUUCGGAAAGUUUAAAAGAGCACAAAUAAGAGAAAAACCACAAAGAAAAAUAGGGCCAUUUAGUAAUCCCGUGAAAAGGUUAGCUAGGUUAAAAGAGAAGGAAAGGCUGUUUUGUGACAUCGGUAUGCCGCGUAUUAUACCAAGGGCAAAAAUAAACCAUAAAGAAAAAUUGUUACAAGUUAUAAAACCACCAAAAGUAAAAAAAGAAGUACUAGAAAGAAGGUUAGAUUUUUUAUUGUCAAAUGAGAGUGUAUAUCAACAGUUAUAUAAUAAAAUAUAUAAUGGUAUAACACCAUAUCAGUGUGAAUUGUUUAUGUGGGAAAGACAAAUGAGAGAUUUACGGAAAAUAUACAGAGCACAAUAUAUACAUAAAUUAAGUGAAGUUACAAAUGAAGAAAGAAAUAAACAAAUAAAAUUAUUAUUACAAACUAAAGAAGAUAAAAAAAAAAGAAAAGAAAAAAUUCGAACUCGAAUUUUAGAAGAUAAAAAAAGACGAGCUAUACUAAAAGAUCGUAUAUCAUUAGAAAAAAAAGUAAAUGAAUCUAUUCUUUUUAAAAGACAAUCUAAUAUAAAAAAAAAAAAUAUUUAUUGGUUAAAUAAAUUACAAAAAAAAUGUAUGUAUUUAAAUGCAGAAGAUUUUGAAAAAAAAAUAAAUAAUAUAGAUAAAGAAAAUGUUAAAACUGAUAAGAAUGAUGGUAUGAAAAAUGUUUUAGGUUUGACUAAAAAAGGUAACACAACGAAUGGUUCUAUUAAAAGUAAUAACAUAAACUAUCAAACAGAUGAUAGUGGCAAUUAUAGCGGAAGUGAUAACAGUAGUGAUAAAGAUAUUUUAUUUAAUCGUAAUAUUUCAACUAGUGCAUUAUACAAAGACCUAGGAUAUAAUAUAAGAGAAGAUAAAGAAUAUAAUAGUAGUAAUUUUAAAAUAGAUAAAGUUUAUAGGAAAUUAUUGGAAGAAUCUUUUGAAUUUUUAGAAGAGGAUGCAGAUCAAUACGAAGAAGAAAAAAUUGAUCAAAAUGAUUCCAAUUCUAGUAUUGAUGGUUAUAAUAAUAAUGUAUCACAUUUAAAAAGAGCAAAAAUUUUAUAUUCUUCUUUUAGUAAUGAUGAAAAAUUAAAACUUUUAGAUGAAAAAAUAGCUAUUAUAACUAAAAUAAUUGAAGAAAAAUCAUUUGCUAAAGGUAUAGAAAAUAAUAAUAUAAUGUUUUAUAUUCAAUUAAAAGAUAAAUUAGAGGCUUCAAAACAAUCAUUCUUAGAAAAAAACUAUUUAGAAAAUGUAAAUGAUAAAUUAAGCUAG
Molecule: long non-coding RNA, 1338 nt
Filed under: Piliocolobus tephrosceles (Ugandan red Colobus)
Lineage: Eukaryota; Metazoa; Chordata; Mammalia; Primates; Cercopithecidae
Description: lncRNA (ENSPTEG00000014196.1)
Source: RNAcentral